AUGGGUGCCCAGCUCCUGGGCCGUGUGAUGCUUUUCCUCCUGGGGGCAGGCCACGCAGCUGCAAAGGUGACCCAGGACCCCAGAUACCUCAUUGCAGAGCCGGGGCGGAGGCUGGUGCUGCAGUGUUCUCAGACCAUGGGCCACGACGCCAUGUACUGGUAUCGCCAAGACCCAGGGCUGCACCCGGAGCUGAUCUACUACUCCAUCAACACUAACUUAACUAAUAAGGGGGAUGCUUCUGAGGGGUACAGCGUCUCCCGGCAAUACAAGGAGAAUUUCCCCUUGACCCUGGAGGCAGCCACCCUGCGGCAGACUUCUCUGUACCUCUGUGCCAGCACAAUGGGAAACGCGUUCCCGAAGUACUUCGGCGCAGGCACCAAGCUGACCGUCAUAGACGACCUGCGUAAGGUCAAGGUGCCCACGGUCAACGUGUUCGAGCCCUCUGAAGCAGAGAUCUUGCACACCCAGAAGGCCACGCUCGUGUGCCUGGCCACCGGCUUCUACCCCGACCACGUGGAGCUGAGCUGGUGGGUGAACGAGAAGGAGGUCACCAGCGGGGUCAGCACGGACCCCCAGCCCUACCAGCAAGACUCCAGCUACUCUCUGAGCAGCCGGCUCAGGGUCUCUGCCAGCUUCUGGCACAACCCGCACCGCCAGUUCCGCUGCCAGGCCCACUUCCAUGGCCUCGGGAGGGAGGAUGAAUGGGACGAAAAAGACGGACCCAAACCUGUCUCCCAGAUCAUCAGCGCCCAGGUCUCAGGCCGAGCAGGCUGUGGCCUCAACUCAGCAUCCUACCAGCAGGGGCUCCAGUCUGCCACCCUCCUCUACGAGAUCCUGCUGGGGAAGGCCACCCUGUACGCCGUGCUGGUCAGCGUCCUGGUGCUGAUGACCAUGGUCAAAAGAAAGGACUCCUGAGCAAGCUUCGCUUCCCGCCAGCGCUUCUGGAGAGCUUUCUCCUGUCUCCACGCCUUCCUCCUGGUGGGAACACAGGGGACCCUCACAGCCGAAACCCCGCCCUG
Non-coding RNA from Condylura cristata (star-nosed mole), 1019 nucleotides. Lineage: Eukaryota; Metazoa; Chordata; Mammalia; Eulipotyphla; Talpidae. The record is from the annotation of a RefSeq genome assembly.